CCUAGUUGAUCCUGCCAGUAGUCAUAUGCUUGUCUCAAAGAUUAAGCAUGCAUGUGUAAGUAUGAACUAAUUUAGAUUGUGAAACUGCGAAUGGCUCAUUAAUUCAGUUAUAGUUUGUUUGAUGGUACCUGCUACUCGGAUAAUUGUAGUAAUUCUAGAGCUAAUACAUGCAACAAACACUGACAUCUAGAAGGGAUGCAUUUAUUAGAUAAAAGGUCGAUACGAGCUCUGCUCGUUGCUGCGAAAAUUCAUGAUAACUCGAUGAAUCACACGGCUCUCGUGCCGGUGACGCAUCAUUCAAAUUUCUACGCUAUCAACUUUCGAUGGUAGGAUAGUGGCCUACCAUGGUGGUGACGGGUGACAGAGUCCGGAGAAGGAGCCUGAGAAACGGCUACCACAUCCAAGGAAGGCAGUAGGUGCGCAAAUUACCCAAUCUUGACACGGGGAGGUAGUGACAAUAAAUAACAAUACUAGGUUCUUCGAGUCUCGUAAUUGGAAUGAGUACAAUCUAAAUCCCUUAACGAGAAUUCAUUGGAGAGCAAGUCUGGUGCCAACAACCAUGAUAAUUCUAGCUCCAAUAGCGUAUAUUUAAGUUGUUGCAGUUAAAAUGCUCGUAGUUGGACUUUGGGUUGGGCUGACCGGUCCACCUUCGGGUGUGCACCAGUCGUCUCGUCCCUUCUGCCGGCGAUGCACUCCUGGUCUUAACUAGCUGGGUCGUGUCUCCAGCGUUGUUACUUUGAAGAAAUUAGAGUGCUCAAAGCAAGCCUACGCUCUAGAUACAUUAGCAUGGGAUAACAUUAUAGGAUUUCAGUCCUAUUAUGUUGGCCUUCGAGAUCGGAGUAAUGAUUAAUAGUGACAGUCGGGGGCAUUCGUAUUUCAUAGUCAGAGGUGAAAUUCUUGGAUUUAUGAAAGACAAACAACUGCGAAAGCAUUUGCCAAGGAUGUUUUCAUUAAUCAAGAACGAAAGUUGGGGGUUCGAAGAUGAUCAGAUACCGUCCUAGUCUCAACCAUAAAAGAUGCCGACCAGGGAUCGGCAGAUGUUGCUUAAAGGACUCCGCCGGCACCUUAUGAGAUAUCAAAGUCUUUGGGUUCCGGGGGGAGUAUGGUCGCAAGCCUGAAACUUAAAGUAAUUGAUAGAAGGACUCUACCAGGAGUUGAGCCUGCGGCUUAAUUUGACUCAACAUGGGGAAACUUACCAGGUCAAGACAUAGUAAGCAUUGACAGACUGAGAGCUCUUUCUUGAUUCUAUGGGUGGUGGGGCAUGGCCGUUCUUAGUUGGUGGAGCGAUUUGUCUUGUUAAUUCCAUUAACGAACGAGACCUCAGCCUACUAACUAGCUAUGCGGAGGUAUCCCUUCGCGACCAGCUUCUUAGAGGGACUACAGCCUUUUAGGCCGCGGAAGUUUGAGGCAAUAACAGGUCUGUGAUGCCCUUAGAUGUUCUGGGCCGCACGCGUGCUACACUGAUGUAUUCAACGAGUUUAUAGCCUUGGCCGAUAGGCCCAGGUAAUCUUUGAAAUUUCAUCGUGAUGGGGAUAUAUCAUUGCAAUUGUUGGUCUAGGAUUUAAUGGUCCCUGCCCUUUGUACACACCGCCCGUCACUCCUACCGAUUGAAUGGUCUGGUGAAGUGUUCGGAUCGAGGCGAUGUGGGCGGUUCGCCGCCCGCAACAUAGCGAGAAGUCCACUGAACCUUAUCAUUUAGAGGAAGGAGAAAUCGCAACAAGGUUUCCGUAGGUGAACCUGCGGAAG
This 1746-nucleotide ribosomal RNA is filed under the name Pogostemon cablin (patchouli). RNAcentral's name for it is "SSU rRNA". It matches the Rfam family "Eukaryotic small subunit ribosomal RNA". The record is from RNAcentral. Lineage: Eukaryota; Viridiplantae; Streptophyta; Magnoliopsida; Lamiales; Lamiaceae.